CGGCAACAGCUCAAAUUUGAAAUCUGACCCUCGGGUCCGAGUUGUAAUUUGCAGAGGAUGCUUUUGAUGCGGCGCCUUCCGAGUUCCCUGGAAUGGGACGCCAUAGAGGGUGAGAGCCCCGUCUGGUUGGAUGCCAAGUCUCUGUAGAGCUCCUUCGAC
RNAcentral lists this ribosomal RNA (159 nucleotides) under Fusarium sp. Its description in RNAcentral is "partial large subunit ribosomal RNA". It matches the Rfam family "Eukaryotic large subunit ribosomal RNA", at positions 99 to 261 of the family's 3401-position model. The record is from RNAcentral. Lineage: Eukaryota; Fungi; Ascomycota; Sordariomycetes; Hypocreales; Nectriaceae.